Molecule: ribosomal RNA, 399 nt
Filed under: Triticum aestivum (bread wheat)
Lineage: Eukaryota; Viridiplantae; Streptophyta; Magnoliopsida; Poales; Poaceae
Description: partial small subunit ribosomal RNA
Source: RNAcentral
AUGUCUUUGGGAAGGCAAAUCCACAAAGAUCCGCUGAAGGGGAAACAAGAAGAAGUGAAAAUCAGUUGGCUUUGGCUGUUGCUUCGACUUCAAUUCCAUCUGAGAAUGCACCACCUCAGCCUCGACCCCAACUGCAAAGUGAAACACAAGGAAAAUGGCAGUAAGAAAAUGGCCUAUGAUGCUGAGCUUCUUCCACAUGAUCCUGUCAAAAGGAUAUCUACCACGAUGCAUUCUAUGAAUUAUCAAGGAGCUCUUCACAGAAGGUCCAUGCUCAAAGGGCCAUGUCAACCCUAUCACCAUUAUUUUCUGGGGAAGCCCACCGGUGUAUAUUCUACAAAAUUAAGGGGAACUUACAGACUGUACAGGAACAGAGAUUGUAACAAGUCAAGGAGAUGUUGA